Molecule: ribosomal RNA, 502 nt
Filed under: uncultured bacterium
Lineage: Bacteria
Description: bacterial SSU rRNA
Rfam family: Bacterial small subunit ribosomal RNA
Source: RNAcentral
GAUGAACGCUAGCGGCAGGCUUAAUACAUGCAAGUCGUGGGGCAGCAGGUUUGUAGCAAUACAGAUGCUGGCGACCGGCAAACGGGUGCGGAACACGUACAGAACCUUCCUUUGAGCGGGGAAUAGCCCAGAGAAAUUUGGAUUAAUACCCCAUAGUAUAAUGAAGUGGCAUCACUUUAUUAUUAAAGAUUUAUCACUCGAAGAUGGCUGUGCGGCUGAUUAGGUAGUUGGCGGGUAAAGGCCCACCAAGCCUGCGAUCAGUAACUGGUGUGAGAGCACGACCAGUCACACGGGCACUGAGACACGGGCCCGACUCCUACGGGAGGCAGCAGUAAGGAAUAUUGGUCAAUGGAGGCAACUCUGAACCAGCCAUGCCGCGUGGAGGAUGAAGGUCCUCUGGAUUGUAAACUUCUUUAUAUGGGACGAAAAAAGGCUUUUCUAAGUCGUCUGACGGUACCAUAUGAAUAAGCACCGGCUAACUCCGUGCCAGCAGCCGCGGUAA